GACGAACGCUGGCGGCGUGCCUAAUACAUGCAAGUAGAACGCUGAAGGAGGAGCUUGCUUCUCCGGAUGAGUUGCGAACGGGUGAGUAACGCGUAGGUAACCUGCCUGGUAGCGGGGGAUAACUAUUGGUAACGAUAGCUAAUACCGCAUAACAGUAGAUGUUGCAUGACAUUUUCUUAAAAGGUGCAAUUUCAUCACUACCAGAUGGACCUGCGUUGUAUUAGCUAGUUGGUGAUGUAACGGCUCACCAAGGCGACGAUACAUAGCAGACCUGAGAGGGUGAUCGGCAAAAAUGGGAAUGAGAAAAGGGCCAGACUGAUACGGGAGGCAGCAGUAGGGAAACUUCGGCAAUGGACGGAAGUCUGAACGAGCAACGACGCGUGAGUGAAGAAGGUUUUCGGAACGUAAAGAUCUGUUGUAAGAGAAGAACGAGUGUGAGAGUGGAAAGUUCACACUGUGACGGUAUCUUACCAGAAAGGGACGGCUAACUACGUG
This 495-nucleotide ribosomal RNA is filed under the name uncultured bacterium. Its description in RNAcentral is "partial 16S ribosomal RNA". It matches the Rfam family "Bacterial small subunit ribosomal RNA", at positions 28 to 507 of the family's 1533-position model. The record is from RNAcentral.